Molecule: long non-coding RNA, 2348 nt
Organism: Homo sapiens (human)
Lineage: Eukaryota; Metazoa; Chordata; Mammalia; Primates; Hominidae
Exons: 3
Source: RefSeq, a predicted model, not a curated record
UUUGGUAAGAUCGGGAGAAGCUGGCAACCACUGGGCCACAUUAACAGAGGCAAGAGCCAAUUCUGGGGCCUCAAUUUGGUCUCACUUUGGUGCUUUCUGAUCUGUCUGUUGCUCGGCCCAAGUUGGCCUCAUGAUCCCUGCAGUGUGCUGGUCAGUCUGAUGUGAAGACCCAACUCCCCGGAGAGACCUCCAAGUCUACUUGGGGGAAGCCACAUGGAAGCUGUUCUUUGGUUCCAGACCAACUGGAAGCUCUGCUUUGAGGAGUUACUGGGUUCCAUCCAGCCAGGAGUAAAGCUGAUACUCUUUGCUCUUCAUCUAUCUCCCUGUGCUGUUCUCAGUUUUCUGUGAGCCUGAAGGAGCAGGAUGGGCACUUGACUGGCAUUUGUACGCUGCCCACAAAUGCACCAACCAUAUACUACAUUACAGUCUCAGGCUUUAUUUGUGAAUAUGCUAUGACUGCUGUCUUCACCUGGAAUGUAAGCUCUGAAAGUAGGAGCCACAUAGUCUACUUACACGUGUGUAGCAGGAAACCAAUUAACUCUGGAUAUGACUUUAUGAUCGUUUCUAUAGCGCUACAUAAGUAGAUUCCACAGCCAGUUGUUUCAAACCAUCCCAAAGUCACCUGAUACUAGUAAAAUUCCAAGAAAGUCACUUUUCAAUAAACUGAUAGUCACAGCUUAGUAAGCUACCUCCCAAAUGGGUCACCAAAAAUAAAUCCUCUAAAGGAAGAGCCACUGAAGGAUAAACGAUGUCAGCCAUUCUCCUUGGCAAUGCUGGCUUUCCUCCAGCAAGGUCCAAGUGACCUCAAUUACUUACUGCAAGUCAUCUUGGUUAAAUAAAAUCAGUCUGCAGUUUGGGUGGCUGGGGCUUUAUCCAGGAAAACUGUGGCGCUGAGAGGUAGCAGAUACAAAGCCUGCUGAAAUCUGUCCAGAUAGUAUCUGAGCUCCCAGCAAGAAGGAAAUGCCACCACCAUCUGCCUCUGUUUGUGAUGACCUGGGAAUAAAUAAAAAUUAACCUUGGCCCUUGAAUGAAUCACGGAGCUUAUCAACACUUCCUUCGUGUCUUUAAUGACUAUUGUGAAACAAGUUGACAGUGAAUGUUGGAGAGAUAGGGCAGAAGGGCUAUUGUUCUAAAUGGCUCUUUACCAGGCACGGCACUUUGCACCUUCUCAUAUUUUGUGCCAUGAUGCACUUUGCACCCUGUAUUAGUAACAGUGAAAAAUAAGGAGACAGCAUCUUCUGAAGCCAGCAGGAGCUCAAUGAACCACCGGAAAAGAAAGAAGAAAGGAAAAAUAAAAGGAAGGAAGGCAGGAAUAAAAGAGGGGAAGGAGAAAAUGCUGGAGAGAAGAAGGGAAUGACAAUCCCAGUCUCCAGAUGGUCAGUGUGACUGAUGGCUGAGUUUCAGGAACAUUGUUUGCAACAAAGAAGGAGACAUCCCUUGCAUCCUGACAUAUGGUACCUUCUAUUUAUAACAAGAUUAACAAUUCAUUCACACCUUGAUUGAAUACUGCUUUAUUGAGAUGUCACAACAGAUUCUCACAGCCUGCAAAGGGAAAGACUUACAAAUGAUAAUAUUAUGACAAGCAAGACACCUAAAAGUAAAUGAAUCAUAAUUGAUGAUAAUUAGAAAGAGCUCAGCACAAACACAGAAUCAUAGCAGUGAUGGUGAGCAGGAUUCGCCUCUUGCAGAAGGACUGCCACAGAGCAAUUCUGCUGAAUUUUCAUUGAGAAGUUGAAAUCCACUCACACCUAGGAAGAAAUCAUUAGAGAUGCAGCUGCUUACAUGCAAGAGCAUGUGCACGAAGCCUGGAUACACAGAUGCAUGUGUGCGAGAGAAGGUGUACGGGAUUAGAGAGCUCUGAAUGGCCUCAUAAUAGAAUCCCAGGGGAGGGCCGGAGGUCCCAGGCCAGCGAUGCUCACACGCCCAUCUCCUCCUGUCUGUGCCGCACAAAGCCUGACAAGGCCUCACUCAUGUUUCAAAGCGCUUUCUCUUUUCAGAGCUAUUUGUUAUUGUCUCUGCCAUCACAAGUUUAAAAAAGGAAAGUUAAUUAAAUAUGGAACAAGACUGAGCAACAUCUUUUAAACCAUCAUGUCAUUAGAACUGGAAUCCUUAGAGAGCUGCUUAAAAGGGGUUUGAGAACAAUGACUGUUCAAUCAGAUAUUUAUGGGCAUAGUUAUGUAAACACACUCUUUAUUGUCUAUGUAUAUUUAAUAUAAUUAUCAGUUUUGUAGUUGGACUCUCCAGAGACCCAACAAAUCACAGUGUUGCUUUGAAAAUGUCAGCAGAAAAGACAAUUAUGUUGCUAGCAAAUAUUCAUAAAUUAUAUUAAAAAGUCCUGUGGAAAUGUC